Molecule: unclassified non-coding RNA, 526 nt
Filed under: Hevea brasiliensis (rubber tree)
Lineage: Eukaryota; Viridiplantae; Streptophyta; Magnoliopsida; Malpighiales; Euphorbiaceae
Source: RNAcentral
CUAGAACGAGAGCUGCCCUGGACAGAAGGUUCUGAAUCUUCAGGUAAGUACCGGCUGAACUGGCGUAACAUAAUGCAGAAAUAGAUAAAGAGAGCAAGAAAACACGCAAUGCCACAGAUGAGGAAAAGCCCCCAAAAGCUUUGUAACUGAAGCUGUUCUGAGCCAGACUCAGAGCUCUGGGAACUGCAUGCUUUUCUUGUCAGCCACUUAUCACGAAUCUUUUGAAGAUCACCAUUUUCAGAUAGAUUGAGAAUGGCAGUUGACAUAUCGAUGGCUAAAGGAGAAUCUCUUGGAAAUGCAAAUCCCCAUCCACUUUUGGUGAACUCUUGGCCCCUGAUUGAGAACUCACAAUGCUCUGACAGGAAGAGAUCCAUGUACGGUCGUUCAUCAACUAUGGCAGCAACAGUUCCAUUUGCAAGGGCAGUUGCAUAUUCUUCAGGAGAGCCAAGAGCAACAAGUCUAGUUGUUGCUAUGCUGAGUUCUUCAUUCAGAUAAUUUUGAGCAAAGGACCCUACUUGGAAUCCGA